Molecule: ribosomal RNA, 430 nt
Filed under: bacterium
Lineage: Bacteria
Description: partial 16S ribosomal RNA
Rfam family: Bacterial small subunit ribosomal RNA
Source: RNAcentral
UGGGGAAUCUUGCGCAAUGGGCGAAAGCCUGACGCAGCAACGCCGCGUGUGUGAUGAAGGUCUUCGGAUCGUAAAGCACUGUCGCGAGGGACGAAUAAGCCUUUGGCUAACAUCCAGGGGCGAUGACGGUACCUCGAGAGGAAGCACCGGCUAACUCUGUGCCAGCAGCCGCGGUAAUACAGAGGGUGCGAGCGUUGUUCGGAAUUAUUGGGCGUAAAGCGCGUGUAGGCGGCUUAGCAAGUUGGGUGUGAAAGCCCUCGGCUUAACCGAGGAAGUGCGCCCAAAACUGCUUGGCUUGAGUACCGGAGAGGGUGGCGGAAUUCCCGGUGUAGAGGUGAAAUUCGUAGAUAUCGGGGGGAAAACCAGCGGCGAAGGCGGCCACCUGGACGGAUACUGACGCUGAGACGCGAAAGCGUGGGGAGCAAACAGG